RNAcentral lists this unclassified non-coding RNA (241 nucleotides) under Hevea brasiliensis (rubber tree). Lineage: Eukaryota; Viridiplantae; Streptophyta; Magnoliopsida; Malpighiales; Euphorbiaceae. The record is from RNAcentral.
CAGCUUUUGCCCCUUUGGAGGCACAUCAAAUGCCCAUGUAAAUCCUUCUUUCCAUUCAGGAGAUGUACUGUGGCUAACAACCUUUGUUUGUCGAUGAGGGCCAUUCCCGAUAGACAAUCGACAGAAAGCAUUUGUACUUCCCAUAGUCUGUUUUAGGUUGUUCCCGCGCUUAAUAAUAACGGUCAGACAACCUGGUAAGCAAUGCAAAAGGCUAUCUGCUCUGUCAUGAAAACUAGGAGGG